GGGCGACUAGCUCAGCUGGUAGAGCAACAGACUCUUAAUCUGUGGGUCCGGGGUUCGAUUCCCCGGUCGCUCA
Molecule: transfer RNA, 73 nt
Filed under: Treponemataceae bacterium
Lineage: Bacteria; Pseudomonadati; Spirochaetota; Spirochaetia; Treponematales; Treponemataceae
Description: tRNA-Lys
Rfam family: tRNA
About the family: Transfer RNA (tRNA) molecules are approximately 80 nucleotides in length.
Source: RNAcentral